AACGAACGCUGGCGGCAUGCCUAACACAUGCAAGUCGAACGAGAUCUUCGGGUCUAGUGGCGCACGGGUGCGUAACGCAUGGGAAUCUGCCCUCAGGUUCGGAAUAACCAUUGGAAACGAUGGCUAAUACCGGAUGAUGACGUUAAGUCCAAAGAUUUAUCGCCUGAGGAUGAGCCCGCGUAGGAUUAGCUAGUUGGUGUGGUAAAGGCGCACCAAGGCGACGAUCCUUAGCUGGUCUGAGAGGAUGAUCAGCCACACUGGGACUGAGACACGGCCCAGACUCCUACGGGAGGCAGCAGUGGGGAAUAUUGGACAAUGGGCGAAAGCCUGAUCCAGCAAUGCCGCGUGAGUGAUGAAAGCCUUAGGGUUGUAAAGCUCUUUUACCCGGGAUGAUAAUGACAGUACCGGGAGAAUAAGCUCCGGCUAACUCCGUG
RNAcentral lists this ribosomal RNA (434 nucleotides) under uncultured bacterium. Its description in RNAcentral is "partial 16S ribosomal RNA". It matches the Rfam family "Bacterial small subunit ribosomal RNA", at positions 29 to 507 of the family's 1533-position model. The record is from RNAcentral.